CUUCAUACUUUUGGGAUAUAUCUUUGAUUUCACUAAUGCUUUCCGGGUUUACUAGUUUUUCACUGCUGUAGUAUAUUUAUUUAUUACCUCAUCGCUAAUAACGAUGCUCCAGUGGACGAUUAUACUGACAAUUUUAGGUGCCGGCGUUGACGCUUUAAAAUGCCACACGCAUCGCACUACGAAGUCGGAGUGGGAUUACACCGACACGUACACAGCCACAUGCCAACCGGACGAAAUAUGCCGGACAGAAUUAACGCGGAUUUCCUUUUGCGACAUCGAAGUCACCUCCCGAGGAUGCGCAAAGCGGAGCGAUGGCACUAAUCUCGGAUGUAGCAUAACCCGGAAGAACCUGGCAAUGACGUGCUUCUGUGAUACCGAUAAAUGUAACGGAAACAACAAACACGGCUUCCCCGAGUUUUUGAAUCUUAUGCAGAAUUUUAGUCCGCGGUUACAUUUAAAAUCGUACGGUGCUUAUAGCAUGAUAAUAAUUGCUCUGAUUCUGGUAUUUUGUGGAAGCUAAAAACCGUCUUUCUUACGCUUCAUGAACAAUUAUGUAAAAUAUAUGGCGCUAUUUGUUACAGAA
Molecule: long non-coding RNA, 583 nt
Organism: Paramacrobiotus metropolitanus
Lineage: Eukaryota; Metazoa; Tardigrada; Eutardigrada; Parachela; Macrobiotidae
Exons: 3
Source: RefSeq, a predicted model, not a curated record